This 677-nucleotide long non-coding RNA is filed under the name Struthio camelus australis. Its description in RNAcentral is "lncRNA (ENSSCUG00000018583.1)". The record is from RNAcentral. Lineage: Eukaryota; Metazoa; Chordata; Aves; Struthioniformes; Struthionidae.
UGUUGACUUGUUUGGCCACACUGGAAGGGUGAUGCAUGGGAGCACCCUGGUAAGCCCCACGCUGCGCCGCUACGCACGGCACACAUCGACUGUGGCUCAGCGCUGUGACCAGAUGCGCUCGGUAGGACAGCACCUCUCCAGGCCAAGGGCUAGUUCUGGAAAAGAGGUGCAUGAGGCGUCCAACUGAGCCCCAGUUAUGGAAUUGGAAACCACCAUUUCCGUAGGCGUACAGGUACAUAUAUGAAGCCAGCCACGAUCCGAAGCCGAGCAGGAGCAAAACAACGUGUAAAGACACCAUGGAUAAUCACAAGGAUCGCCGACUUGUCGCGACAGUCCACCUACAAUUUCAGCAUCUGUAACCACGACGAGAUACGCGAGGAUCUCCUAAACGUUUUGGAUCCACACAUGACCUUAAACGAGGUUGGUGGUUUCUCUGGUGGCAUCAGCGGGAAUCUGUCGGGACAGCACUGCCUCCACGAUUUUAAACUUGACUGCUGGCAGCCACUUUCUGAAAAUCUCGAUUAGCAAGCCGGGAGCUGGCUAGUUUAGUAAACUGGUGCAUGUGACCAGGACGGGGAAAUUAUCUCCUACUGUCCUCCGGCGACCUUCCUAAAAUGUGAGCUGAAGCCGCAAGUUGCAGGGACGGAGCGCAGGGGCCGGCGGAGGCUCCCGUCCGA